GACGAACGCUGGCGGCGUGCUUAACACAUGCAAGUCGAACGGGUCUGCCCUGUUUUUUGCGGGGUGGGUCAGUGGCGAACGGGUGAGUAACACGUGAGUAACCUGCCCCUCACUUCUGGAUAACCGCUUGAAAGGGUGGCUAAUACGGGGUGUUCUGGCUGUGCCGCAUGGUGUGGCUGGGAAAGAUUCACUUUUGUGGUGUUUUGGUGGGGGAUGGGCUCGCGGCCUAUCAGCUUGUUGGUGGGGUGAUGGCCUGCCAAGGCUUUGACGGGUAGCCGGCCUGAGAGGGUGGGCGGUCACACUGGGACUGAGAUACGGCCCAGACUCCUGCGGGAGGCAGCAGUGGGGGGUAUUGCACAAUGGGCGGAAGCCUGAUGCAGCGACGUCGCGUGAGGGAUGGAGGCCUUCGGGUUGUGAACUUCCUUCGCCGGUGAAGAAGGUCCUGCUCUUUGUGGUGGGGUUGACGGUAGCCGGGUUAUGAAGCGCCGGCUAACUACGUG
This 500-nucleotide ribosomal RNA is filed under the name uncultured bacterium. RNAcentral describes it as "partial 16S ribosomal RNA". It matches the Rfam family "Bacterial small subunit ribosomal RNA", at positions 28 to 507 of the family's 1533-position model. The record is from RNAcentral.